This 497-nucleotide ribosomal RNA is filed under the name uncultured bacterium. RNAcentral's name for it is "partial 16S ribosomal RNA". It matches the Rfam family "Bacterial small subunit ribosomal RNA", at positions 28 to 507 of the family's 1533-position model. The record is from RNAcentral.
GAUGAACGCUGGCGGCGUGCCUAAUACAUGCAAGUCGAGCGAACAGACGAGGAGCUUGCUCCUCUGACGUUAGCGGCGGACGGGUGAGUAACACGUGGAUAACCUACCUAUAAGACUGGGAUAACUUCGGGAAACCGGAGCUAAUACCGGAUAAUAUAUUGAACCGCAUGGUUCAAUAGUGAAAGACGGUUUUGCUGUCACUUAUAGAUGGAUCCGCGCCGCAUUAGCUAGUUGGUAGGGUAACGGCUUACCAAGGCAACGAUGCGUAGCCGACCUGAGAGGGUGAUUGGCCACACUGGAACUGAGACACGGUCCAGACUCCUACGGGAGGCAGCAGUAGGGAAUCUUCCGCAAUGCGCGAAAGCCUGACGGAGCAACGCCGCGUGAGUGAUGAAGGUCUUCGGAUCGUAAAACUCUGUUAUUAGGGAAGAAAAAAUGUGUAAGUAACUAUGCACGUCUUGACGGUACCUAAUCAGAAAGCCACGGCUAACUACGUG